RNAcentral lists this ribosomal RNA (460 nucleotides) under uncultured bacterium. RNAcentral describes it as "partial 16S ribosomal RNA". It matches the Rfam family "Bacterial small subunit ribosomal RNA", at positions 338 to 795 of the family's 1533-position model. The record is from RNAcentral.
CCUACGGGUGGCUGCAGUGAGGAAUAUUGGUCAAUGGAGGCAACUCUGAACCAGCCAAGUCGCGUGCAGGAUGACGGCCCUAUGAGUUGUAAACUGCUUUUAUACGGGGAUAAACUGAGUCACGUGUGUCUUAUUGCAGGUACCGCAUGAAUAAGGACCGGCUAAUUCCGUGCCAGCAGCCGCGGUAAUACGGAGGGUCCGGGCGUUAUCCGGAUUUAUUGGGUUUAAAGGGUGCGUAGGCGGCCCCUUAAGCGUGUUGUGAAAUGCCGCGGCUCAACCGUGGCACUGCAGCGAGUACUGGGGGGCUAGGGUGUGGCUGCGGUAGGCGGAAUUCGUGGUGUAGCGGUGAAAUGCUUAGAUAUCACGAAGAACUCCGAUUGCGAAGGCAGCCUACCGUAGCGUUACUGACGCUGAGGCUCGAAGGUGCGGGUAUCGAACAGGAUUAGAUACCCUUGUAGUC